UACGAAGGGGGCUAGCGUUGCUCGGAAUCACUGGGCGUAAAGCGCACGUAGGCGGAUUGCUAAGUCAGGGGUGAAAUCCUGGAGCUCAACUCCAGAACUGCCUUUGAUACUGGCGACCUUGAGUCCGGGAGAGGUGAGUGGAACUGCGAGUGUAGAGGUGAAAUUCGUAGAUAUUCGCAAGAACACCAGUGGCGAAGGCGGGUUGCUGGGCCGACACUGACGCUGAGGCGCGAAAGCGUGGGGAGCAAACAGG
Molecule: ribosomal RNA, 253 nt
Filed under: uncultured bacterium
Lineage: Bacteria
Description: partial 16S ribosomal RNA
Rfam family: Bacterial small subunit ribosomal RNA
Source: RNAcentral